UACGUAGGGGGCAAGCGUUGUUCGGAAUUACUGGGCGUAAAGGGCGCGUAGGCGGCACGGCAAGUCAGGAGUGAGAGCCCGGGGCUCAACCCCGGAAGGUCUCUUGAAACUGCCGAGCUAGAGUGCGGAAGGGGCAACUGGAAUUCCCAGUGUAGCGGUGAAAUGCGUAGAUAUUGGGAAGAACACCUGAGGCGAAGGCGGGUUGCUGGGCCGACACUGACGCUGAGGCGCGAAAGCCAGGGGAGCGAACGGG
Molecule: ribosomal RNA, 253 nt
Filed under: uncultured Acidobacteriota bacterium
Lineage: Bacteria; Pseudomonadati; Acidobacteriota
Description: uncultured Acidobacteria bacterium partial 16S ribosomal RNA
Rfam family: Bacterial small subunit ribosomal RNA
Source: RNAcentral